UCAAACUAGCGUGGCCCUAGCCAAGAGGUGU
RNAcentral lists this non-coding RNA (31 nucleotides) under Mus musculus (house mouse). The record is from RNAcentral. Lineage: Eukaryota; Metazoa; Chordata; Mammalia; Rodentia; Muridae.